GUGGGGAAUAUUGCACAAUGGGGGAAACCCUGAUGCAGCAACGCCACGUGUGGGAAGAAGCAUUUCGGUGUGUAAACCACUGUCAUGAGGGAAUAAGGCCCUUAUCCGUAAGGGAUUGAAUGUACCUUGAGAGGAAGCACCGGCAAACUUCGUGCCAGCAGCCGCGGUAAUACGAGGGGUGCAAGCGUUGUUCGGAAUUACUGGGCGUAAAGGGAGCGUAGGCGGAGAUUCAAGCGGAUUGUACAAUCCCGGGGCCCAACCCCGGUUCUGCAGUCCGAACUGGAUCUCUUGGAUAGUUCAGGGGCAGGCGGAAUUCCUGGUGUAGCGGUGGAAUGCGUAGAGAUCAGGAAGAACACCGAUGGCGAAGGCAGCCUGCUGGGGACUCAUCGACGCUGAGGCUCGAAAGUGCGGGUAGCAAACAGG
This 423-nucleotide ribosomal RNA is filed under the name uncultured rumen bacterium. RNAcentral's name for it is "bacterial SSU rRNA". It matches the Rfam family "Bacterial small subunit ribosomal RNA", at positions 354 to 776 of the family's 1533-position model. The record is from RNAcentral.